GACGAAGGGGGCUAGCGUUGUUCGGAAUUACUGGGCGUAAAGCGAGUGUAGGUGGUUGUCCAAGUUGGAUGUGAAAGCCUUGAGCUCAACUCAAGAAAUGCAUUCAGGACUGGGCGGCUAGAGGACCGGAGAGGAUAGUGGAAUUCCCAGUGUAGUGGUGAAAUACGUAGAGAUUGGGAAGAACACCAGUGGCGAAGGCGGCGACCUGGUCCAUUACUGACGCUGAGGCGCGACAGCGUGGGGAGCAAACAGG
This 253-nucleotide ribosomal RNA is filed under the name uncultured bacterium. RNAcentral's name for it is "partial 16S ribosomal RNA". It matches the Rfam family "Bacterial small subunit ribosomal RNA", at positions 524 to 776 of the family's 1533-position model. The record is from RNAcentral.